This 492-nucleotide ribosomal RNA is filed under the name uncultured bacterium. RNAcentral's name for it is "partial 16S ribosomal RNA". It matches the Rfam family "Bacterial small subunit ribosomal RNA", at positions 28 to 507 of the family's 1533-position model. The record is from RNAcentral.
GAUGAACGCUAGCUACAGGCUUAACACAUGCAAGUCGAGGGGAAACGGCAUCGAAAGCUUGCUUUUGAUGGGCGUCGACCGGCGCACGGGUGAGUAACGCGUAUCCAACCUGCCCAUCACUUGGGAAUAACCUUGCGAAAGUAAGACUAAUGCCCAAUGACAUCCCACGAAGGCAUCCGAAUGGGAAUAAAGAUUUAUCGGUGAUGGAUGGGGAUGCGUCUGAUUAGCUUGUUGGCGGGGUGACGGCCCAACAAGGCAACGAUCAGUAGGGGUUCUGCGAGCAAGGUCCCCUAAGUUGGAACUGAGACACCAUCCAAAAGACUACGGGAGGCAGAAGUGAGGAAUAUUGGUCAAUGGGCGAGAGCCUGAACCAGCCAAGUAGCGUGCAGGAUGACGGCCCUAUGGGUUGUAAACUGCUUUUAUAAGGGAAUAAAGUGGGUCACGUGUGACUUUUUGCAUGUACCUUAUGAAUAAGGACCGGCUAAUUCCGUG